RNAcentral lists this transfer RNA (73 nucleotides) under Stegodyphus mimosarum. It matches the Rfam family "tRNA". Rfam says of the family: Transfer RNA (tRNA) molecules are approximately 80 nucleotides in length. Their secondary structure includes four short double-helical elements and three loops (D, anti-codon, and T loops). The record is from Rfam by way of RNAcentral. Lineage: Eukaryota; Metazoa; Arthropoda; Arachnida; Araneae; Eresidae.
GCCUUCGUGGUGUAAUGGUAAGCACGCUCGAUUCGUAACCGAGAGGUCCGUGGUUCAAUUCCCGGCAAGAGCA